AACGAACGCUGGCGGCAGGCCUUACACAUGCAAGUCGAACGUGAAAGUCCUUCGGGAUGAGUAAAGUGGCGCACGGGUGAGUAACGCGUGGGAAAGUACCCUUCAGUACGGGAUAACCGCGGGAAACUGCUGCUAAUACCGUCUAUUCUCGUGAGAGGGAAGAUUUAUCGCUGAAGGAUCGGCCCGCGUCAGAUCAGCUAGUUGGUGGGGUAAUGGCCUACCAAGGCUACGAUCUGUAGCUGGUCUGAGAGGAUGAUCAGCCACACUGGAACUGAGACACGGUCCAGACUCCUACGGGAGGCAGCAGUGGGGAAUAUUGGACAAUGGGCGAAAGCAUGAUCCAGCCAUGCCGCGUGAAUGAUGAAGUCCUUAGGGUUGUAAAGUUCUUUUGACGGGGAAGAUAAUGACGGUACCCGUAGAAUAAGCUCCGGCUAACUUCGUGCCAGCCGCCGCCGUAA
This 458-nucleotide ribosomal RNA is filed under the name uncultured bacterium. Its description in RNAcentral is "partial 16S ribosomal RNA". It matches the Rfam family "Bacterial small subunit ribosomal RNA", at positions 29 to 523 of the family's 1533-position model. The record is from RNAcentral.